Molecule: ribosomal RNA, 500 nt
Filed under: uncultured bacterium
Lineage: Bacteria
Description: partial 16S ribosomal RNA
Rfam family: Bacterial small subunit ribosomal RNA
Source: RNAcentral
AUUGAACGCCGGCGGCAGGCCUAACACAUGCAAGUCGAGCGGUAGAGAGAAGCUUGCUUCUCUUGAGAGCGGCGGACGGGUGAGUAAUGCCUAGGAAUCUGCCUGGUAGUGGGGGAUAACGUUCGGAAACGGACGCUAAUACCGCAUACGUCCUACGGGAGAAAGCAGGGGACCUGCGGGCCUUGCGCUAUCAGAUGAGCCUAGGUCGGAUUAGCUAGUUGGUGAGGUAAUGGCUCACCAAGGCGACGAUCCGUAACUGGUGUGAGAGGAUCAUCAGUCACACUGGAACUGAGACACGGUCCAGACUCCUACGGGAUGCAGCUGUGGGGAAUAUUGGACAAUGAGCGAGAGCCUGAUCCGGUCAUGCCGCGUGUGUGAAGAAGGUCUUCGGAUUGUAAAGCACUUUAAGUUGGGAGGAAGCGUUGUAGAUUAAUACUCUGCAAUUUUGACGUUAACGACAGAAUAAGCACCGGCUAACUCUGUGCCAGCCGCCGCCGUAA